CUACGGGAGGCAGCAGUCGAGAAUUUUUCACAAUGGGCGCAAGCCUGAUGGAGCGACGCCGCGUGGGGGAUGAAUGGCUUCGGCCCGUAAACCCCUGUCAUUCGCGAUCAAACCUUGGUAUUUAAAAGAUGCCGAGCUGAUAGUAGCGGAAGAGGAAGGGACGGCUAACUCUGUGCCAGCAGCCGCGGUAAUACAGAGGUCCCAAGCGUUGUUCGGAUUCACUGGGCGUAAAGGGUGCGUAGGUGGCGAGGUAAGUCGGAUGUGAAAGCUCGGAGCUCAACUCCGAAAUGGCAUUGGAAACUACCUUGCUCGAGGGUUGGAAGGGGGACUGGAAUUCUCGGUGUAGCAGUGAAAUGCGUAGAUAUCGAGAGGAACACCAGUGGCGAAGGCGAGUCCCUGGACAAUACCUGACACUGAGGCACGAAAGCUAGGGGAGCAAACAGGAUUAGAUACCCUGGU
This 459-nucleotide ribosomal RNA is filed under the name uncultured bacterium. RNAcentral's name for it is "bacterial SSU rRNA". It matches the Rfam family "Bacterial small subunit ribosomal RNA", at positions 339 to 791 of the family's 1533-position model. The record is from RNAcentral.